GCCAGUGUUGUGUCACCAGGGGCUCAUGCUUGAUCUUCAUCUUACAUCUGGAGUCAGCUGAUCCUGAGCCACUGGAGGCCUCGAGAUGUACACGGGAUGAUGGGCUUUAGUUUGAUUUGAGCAGGCUGACAAAAGCGCAGUGAGACCAUCACCCAAAGGAACAGUGCCAGUGUGCUGUGGAAGUCCCCAAAAUUUGGGGUUUUGAAACUCAGUCCUGCCUGAGACAGAAAAGCUCGGACACCGGCAGGGUGAAAACAAAAUGACAAGAUGGAGAAAUCCACCCCAAAAGAAAGAACGGGAAGCAGAACUCGUGGCCAGCAAUUAAAUCAAUACAGAUAUA
This is a long non-coding RNA of Panthera uncia (snow leopard), 340 nucleotides long. RefSeq lists it as uncharacterized. The transcript is spliced from 3 exons. Lineage: Eukaryota; Metazoa; Chordata; Mammalia; Carnivora; Felidae. The record is from RefSeq and is a predicted model, not a curated record.